ACAAACUUGGUCAUUUAGAGGAAGUAAAAGUCGUAACAAGGUCUCCGUUGGUGAACCAGCGGAGGGAUCAUUACAGGGUCUAACGACUGCCCAAACCAAACCGUGCUCCUUUCCAUACCAUCUUGCUACGGCGCGCCGCCCGCUGGGGGGGCCUCUGGCCGGACGAAAGUCUGGUGGCCGCCGGAGCAAACACACCAAAACUCUACAAGUAACUUAUCUCUGAGAACUUUCUGAAUUAAAUAAUUCACAACUCAUAACAAUGGAUCUCUUGGCUCUGGCAUCGAUGAAGAACGCAGC
This 297-nucleotide unclassified non-coding RNA is filed under the name uncultured fungus. RNAcentral's name for it is "partial contains small subunit ribosomal RNA, internal transcribed spacer 1, and 5.8S ribosomal RNA". The stretch from base 1 to 73 matches the Rfam family "Eukaryotic small subunit ribosomal RNA", at positions 1759 to 1831 of the family's 1831-position model. The record is from RNAcentral. Lineage: Eukaryota; Fungi.